UGAGUAACCUGCCCUUAACUCUGGGAUAAGCCUGGGAAACUGGGUCUAAUACCGGAUAUGACUCCUCAUCGCAUGGUGGGGGGUGGAAAGCUUUAUUGUGGUUUUGGAUGGACUCGCGGCCUAUCAGCUUGUUGGUGAGGUAAUGGCUCACCAAGGCGACGACGGGUAGCCGGCCUGGGAGGGUGACCGGCCACACUGGGACUGAGACACGGCCCAGACUCCUACGGGAGGCAG
Molecule: ribosomal RNA, 234 nt
Filed under: uncultured bacterium
Lineage: Bacteria
Description: partial 16S ribosomal RNA
Rfam family: Bacterial small subunit ribosomal RNA
Source: RNAcentral